AAUUAAAUUUAACCCAUCAUUUUACCAGGAUUUGUCAGAAAUGACUCAUAAAAGAAGAAUAAAGGCUUUGGGAUGCCUCUAUAGACCAGCACUCCUACUUUUCUUCAGCUGGAUUACAUUGAUGUCCUGCUAAAGUUAACAUGCCUGAAAAAAUGCAGAUAUGAAUACACCUCAAAGUUUGGAUAAAUUGGACAACAAUUUCAAGGCUACUCAGGAGAAUAUGAUCAUGUAUGCUUGUGGAUGCUGGGAGGAUCUGAUGUCAACAUUAAAAACUGAUGGAGAAAAGAGAGAACCAAGCUGAUCAAGUUGGAAAAAAUUGCAUAUCCCAAGACCUCUUCCACUGGACUCGUACCAAGACGUGAGAAUAAACUGUAUGCACAAAUGCCUGGCAAUCUAAUGCAGUAA
Long non-coding RNA from Alligator mississippiensis (American alligator), 405 nucleotides. RefSeq lists it as uncharacterized. The record is from RefSeq and is a predicted model, not a curated record. Lineage: Eukaryota; Metazoa; Chordata; Crocodylia; Alligatoridae. The transcript is spliced from 3 exons.